CAGUAGCCACGGUAACACGAAGGUCCCGAGCGUUGUUCGGAAUCACUGGGCGUAAGGGGAGCGUAGGCGGCGUGGUAAGUCAGAUGUGAAAUCCCGGGGCUCAACCCCGGAACUGCAUCCGAUACUGCCGUGCUAGAGGAUUGGAGAGGUAGCUGGAAUUCUUGGUGUAGCAGUGAAAUGCGUGGAGAUCAAGAGGAACACUCGUGGCGAAAGCGAGCUACUGGACAAUAUCUGACGCUGAGGCACGAAAGCGUGGGGAGCAAACAGGAUUAGAUACCCCCGUAGUCCCUGUCUCUUAUAC
This 301-nucleotide ribosomal RNA is filed under the name uncultured bacterium. Its description in RNAcentral is "partial 16S ribosomal RNA". It matches the Rfam family "Bacterial small subunit ribosomal RNA", at positions 509 to 807 of the family's 1533-position model. The record is from RNAcentral.